This 256-nucleotide ribosomal RNA is filed under the name uncultured bacterium. Its description in RNAcentral is "partial 16S ribosomal RNA". It matches the Rfam family "Bacterial small subunit ribosomal RNA", at positions 524 to 776 of the family's 1533-position model. The record is from RNAcentral.
UACGGAGGGUGCGAGCGUUAAUCGGAAUCACUGGGCGUAAAGCGUGCGUAGGCGGCGCAUCAAGUCAGGCGUGAAAGCCCUCGGGCUCAACCGAGGAAUUGCGCUUGAAACUGGUGUGCUUGAGGUCUCGGAGAGGUUGGCGGAAUUCCAGGUGUAGGAGUGAAAUCCGUAGAUAUCUGGAGGAACACCGGUGGCGAAGGCGGCCAACUGGACGAGUACUGACGCUGAGGUACGAAAAGCGUGGGGAGCAAACAGG